UACGAGCCACGGCAUACAGCUCAGUAACACGUGGCUAACCUGCCCUUGGGACGAGAAUACCCCCGGGAAACUGGGGCUAAUUUUCGAUAGGCGAAGAACUCUGGAAUGAGUCUUCACUUAAAAGGGCCUACGUUAUGCUCGUAGGUUUCGCCCAAGGAUGGGGCCGCGACCGAUCAGGUUGUUGGUGAGGUAAUGGCUCACCAAGCCUUUUACCGGUGCGGGCCGUGGGAGCGGGAGCCCGGAGAUGGGCACUGAGACAAGGGCCCAGGCCCUACGGGGCGCAGCAGUCGCGAAAACUUUGCAAUAAGCGAAAGCUUGACAGGGCUAUCCCGAGUGCCAUCCGCUGAGGAAGGCUUUUACCCAGUCUAGAACGCUGGGGGAAUAAGGAGAGGGCAAGUCUGGUGUCAGCCGCCGCGGUAAUACCAGCUCUCCGAGUGGUGUGGAUGUUUAUUGGGCCUAAAGCAUCCGUAGCUGGCUAAGUUAGUCCCUUGUUAAAUCCACCGAAUUAAUCGUUGGAUUGCGGGGGAUACUGCUUGGCUAGGGGACGAGAGAGGCAGACGGUAUUUUCGGGGUAGGGGUGAAAUCCUAUAAUCCCGGGAAGACCACCAGUGGCGAAGGCUGUCUGCUAGAACGCGCCCGACGGUGAGGGAUGAAAGCUGGGGGAGCGAACCGGAUUAGAUACCCGGGUAGUCCCAGCUGUAAACGAUGCAGGCUAGGUGUUUGGACGGCCACGUGCCGUUCUAGUGCCGCAGGGAAGCUGUUAAGCCUGCCGCCUGGGGAGUACGAUCGCAAGAUUGAAACUUAAAGGAAUUGGCGGGGGAGCACCACAAGGGGUGAAGCUUGCGGUUUAAUUGGAGUCAACGCCGGA
This 868-nucleotide ribosomal RNA is filed under the name uncultured archaeon. RNAcentral describes it as "bacterial SSU rRNA". It matches the Rfam family "Archaeal small subunit ribosomal RNA", at positions 70 to 922 of the family's 1478-position model. The record is from RNAcentral.